CACGGGUGAGUAACGACGUGGGUGGAAUCUACCUCUUAGUGGGGGGAUAUCUCUGGGAAACCGGAGUUAAUACCGCAUAAGUUCGAGAGAAGAAAGCAGCAAUGCGCUGAGAGAGGAGCCCGCGGCCGAUUAGCUAGUUGGUGGGGUAAAAGCCUACCAAGGCAGAGAUCGGUAGCCGGCCUGAGAGGGCACACGGCCACACUGGCACUGAAACACGGGCCAG
RNAcentral lists this ribosomal RNA (223 nucleotides) under uncultured bacterium. RNAcentral's name for it is "partial 16S ribosomal RNA". It matches the Rfam family "Bacterial small subunit ribosomal RNA", at positions 102 to 334 of the family's 1533-position model. The record is from RNAcentral.